UCUAGGUGUUUUGAACAUAUAAAUGAGCAAACCAGACAUAAAUGCCUGCUUUUAAGAUGCUAAUAAUCUAUAAAGUCUUUUGGAAAAAAUCAAUCUCGAAUCAAGCUCUAUAUACUUAGCCAUGGAUCUCCAACUUUAAAUCUAUGCUGCAGUAUAAGAUUCUUCCAUGAUGACUUCUUAGCUGUCUCUAGCUUGUUUCCUGACCUUUGCCCAUGCGUAUGUGAUUCUGCUCACAUGGAAUGCCUUCUCACCUUCUAAAAUGCCACCCACUUUUCUAGUUCCAAAUCAAGUAUAUUCCCUUGGUGAGAUCUUCUGCAACCAACAUAUUAAGAAGUGACCUGUCCCUCCUCUCAACUCAUUGUAGCAUGACCUUUUAUAUUACUUAUUUUGUCUAGAAAUGUUCCAAGUCAUUUUCUGUUAUAAUUAUCCCCCUUACAGGUUCACAGCCAGAUUACGGUAAUUAGAAUUGUAGGCUCUGUAUGCAGAACCCUGUUUAAACUGAGGUUGCCGUCUCCAAAUUGAUUUGCAAAUGUUGUUAUCUAUAGCUUGCAGCCAUUAUGAAUGACCUGCCCACAAAAGCUCAUCAAACUUACACCAAAUCUGAAGUAUAGUAUCAAUAGCACCCCUUGCAGAAUUAUUUUUAUUUUUCUGAGAAAAAUGCAUUUUCUCAGAAAAUAUAAUAUGCAAUUUUGCUGUACUUCUAUGCUGCCAACAUCAAGCUGAUCAAAAGUAUGUAGGUGAUCAAAAAUGCUUAAAUGGUUGCUGGUGAUAAAAUAUUCUAUUUAGUCCCACAAAUUGGUUGAUGGCUUCCUAAGGAAUCCACAGAAGUAAUCCUCACGCUAUGUUUUCCAAAUUCAGCAGCUUCUGUGAAACCUCACAGGAACUUCAAAUGAUACAUGGUUUCUAGCUGUCAAGAAAACCCUGUCUGGGGCAGGGGCAUGGUGCGGAGGAGACAGGUGUUGACUACAUAGUGCCACACAGCACUGUCUUGCCGUGAUUUCCCGGAGAUUUUAUUGAAGGGGCUUGGGCUUGCUUCAAGUCAUUAAAUUGAGUCAAUUUGUUGCUUUGUUUUGGCUAAAUUUAUAAAAGCACAAAAGUUUAAGGUAAGAUAAUACUAUUUGGCCUUUUUAUCAUCUUUUUUUUUUUUUUUUUUUUUUUUAAAUUUUUGAGACAGAGUCUCACUCUGUUGCCCAGGCUGGAGUGCAAUGGCAAAAUCUCGGCUCACUGCAAUUUCUGCCUCCUGGGUUCAAGCGAUUCUCCUGCCUCAGCCUCCCAAGUAGCUGGGAUUAUAGGUGCGCACUGCCACACCUGGUUAAUUUUUGUAUUUUAAUACAGACGGGGUUUCACCAUAUUGGCCAGGCCGGUGUUGAACUCCUGACCUCAGGCAAUCUGCCCACCUCAGCCUCCCAUUCAGCAUCUUUUUUUUCUUUUUUAAACACUGCUACUCUACAAAAGCAUUUGGUAAAGAAGGCAGUUAAAGAUAAAGCAGA
This 1490-nucleotide long non-coding RNA is filed under the name Homo sapiens (human). RNAcentral's name for it is "HSALNT0135903". The record is from RNAcentral. Lineage: Eukaryota; Metazoa; Chordata; Mammalia; Primates; Hominidae.